UCAAGAGUUUAAUCAAGUACAAUAAUGAUUGAAUGACAAAUUAUAUUGAUCCAAAAGAUAACAAAGCAACCACAACAAUUAAGCUUUUAUUCAAUGAAAAAGACAAUGAUCUCUAUAGUAAGGAUAAACAGCAUAAGUAACUCUAGUGACAUGAUCAGUUGGAUGACUCUUAAUGGUCUUUUGUCACAUUGCCUAAAAAAUCUACCUUUGGAGUAGUAGUUGGAAUGAGGGGUGGUGUCGCUUGAGAUGGAGUCAUUUUACGGCUUGGUGGAGUGUCACCAGAUGGUUCUUGUGCAGUUGAUUUAACAACUUGAGUCACAACAUCUUCAUAUGUUGGAAAUGGUGUGAGGUCAUCAAGAGAAAAGAUAAGGUUUUGUGAUGGUUUUCGCUGGUGGCGAGGACCUUUGUGAGACAUGUUUGGGUAAAUGCAGAGACAGAGAGAGAAAGAUAGAAAAAACAAGAGAUUUAGCUUUCAAGCUAUGGUGCUCUAAGCAUGUUUGAGUUCUACACUCUUUA
RNAcentral lists this long non-coding RNA (516 nucleotides) under Carica papaya (papaya). Its description in RNAcentral is "long non-coding RNA (CPAP_LNC004726)". The record is from RNAcentral. Lineage: Eukaryota; Viridiplantae; Streptophyta; Magnoliopsida; Brassicales; Caricaceae.